UAACCGGUCUAAGCUUAGGCUAAAUUAAAGACCCGUUAGGAAUCUGAUGGGUUUUUAAAAACCUUCGUUCCAGAUUUAGGAGCCCAGUAAAAGCUAUAUGUACAUGCUUGGUGUGCAGGUACUACGCGUAAUAGGCUGGUCUCUCCUAGCAUCAAAUAGAAGUCUCGCAAGCUUAGAUGUUAAAGUCUGUUGAACAAGUUUCCUCUUUAUUUUGAUCCGCCUGUGGAUCCAUUACGUUCUGUUUGUAAUACUUGGAUAUUACUUUAUAUCGGAUUGUAAUAUUAUUAUCUUUUGCUUCCGCUGUGCAUUUAAAUUUGUAUUGUUUGACUAUGAUGAU
This 337-nucleotide long non-coding RNA is filed under the name Helianthus annuus (common sunflower). RNAcentral describes it as "sRNA HanXRQr2_Chr12g0563151". Lineage: Eukaryota; Viridiplantae; Streptophyta; Magnoliopsida; Asterales; Asteraceae. The record is from RNAcentral.